Molecule: ribosomal RNA, 468 nt
Filed under: uncultured bacterium
Lineage: Bacteria
Description: partial 16S ribosomal RNA
Rfam family: Bacterial small subunit ribosomal RNA
Source: RNAcentral
GACGAACGCUGGCGGCGUGCUUAACACAUGCAAGUCGAACGGAAAGGCCCUGCUUUUGUGGGGUGCUCGAGUGGCGAUCGGGUGAGUAUCACGUGAGUAACCUGCCCUUGACUUUGGGAUAACUUCAGGAAACUGGGGCUAAUACCGGAUAGGAGCCCCUGCUGCAGGGAGGGGGGUGGAAAGUUGCGGCGGUGGGGGAUGGACUAGCGGCUUAUCAGCUUGUUAGUGGGGUAGGUGCUUACCAAGGCUUUGACGGGUAGCCGGCCUGAGAGGGUGACCGGCCACAUUGGGACUGAGGUACGGCCCAGACUCCUACGGUAGGCAGAAGUGGGGAAUAUUGCACAAUGGGCGGAAGCCUGAUACAGCAGCGCCGCGUGCGGAAUGACGGCCUUCGGGUUGUAAACCGCUUUCGCCUGUGACGAAGCGUGAGUGACGGUAAUGGGUAAAGAAGCACCGGCUAACUACGUG